This 255-nucleotide ribosomal RNA is filed under the name uncultured bacterium. RNAcentral describes it as "partial 16S ribosomal RNA". It matches the Rfam family "Bacterial small subunit ribosomal RNA", at positions 524 to 776 of the family's 1533-position model. The record is from RNAcentral.
UACAGAGGGUGCGAGCGUUGUUCGGAAUUAUUGGGCGUAAAGGGCGCGUAGGCGGUGCGGUAAGUCACCUGUGAAAUCUCCUGGCUCAACUGGGAGCUUGCAGGCGAAACUGCCGUGCUGGAGUGUGGGAGAGGUGAGUGGAAUUCCCGGUGUAGCGGUGAAAUGCGUAGAUAUCAGGAGGAACACCGGUGGCGAAGGCGGAUCUCUGGGCCGUAACUGACGCUGAGGGAAGCGGAAAGCAUGGGAGCGAACAGG